UACGGAGGGUGCAAGCGUUAAUCGGAAUUACUGGGCGUAAAGCGUGCGCAGGCGGUUUGUUAAGUCUGCUGUGAAAUCCCCGAGCUCAACUUGGGAAUUGCAGUGGAUACUGGCAAGCUGGAGUACGGUAGAGGAAGGUGGAAUUCCCGGUGUAGAGGUGAAAUUCGUAGAUAUCGGGAGGAACACCAGUGGCGAAGGCGGCGACCUGGGCCAAUAUUGACGCUGAGGUGCGAAAGCGUGGGGAGCAAACAGG
Molecule: ribosomal RNA, 253 nt
Filed under: uncultured bacterium
Lineage: Bacteria
Description: partial 16S ribosomal RNA
Rfam family: Bacterial small subunit ribosomal RNA
Source: RNAcentral